ACGGCUCAGUAACACGUGGUUAACUGCCCUUGGGACGGAAACACCCCCGGGAAACUGGGGCUAAUUUCCGAUAGGUGAAGGCUCCUGGAAUGGAUCUUCGCCUAAAGGGUGCUUAGACCAUGCUUCUAGGCGCCGCCCAAGGAUGGGACCGCGACCGAUCAGGUUGUUGGUGAGGUAACGGCUCACCAAGCCUUUUACCGGUACGGGCCGUGGGAGCGGGAGCCCGGAGAUGGGCACUGAGACAAGGGCCCAGGUCCUACGGGGCGCAGCAGUUACGAAAAUUUCGCAAUACGCGAAGGCGUGACGGAGCCAUCCCGAGUGCCGUCCGCUGAGGAUAGCUUUUCCCCAGUAUAGAUAGCUGGGGGAAUAAGGAGAGGGCAAGUCUGGUGUCAGCCGCCGCGGUAAUACCAGCUCUCCGAGUGGUAGGGAUGUUUAUUGGGCCUAAAGCAUCCGUAGCCAGCUGAGCAAGUCCCCAGUUAAAUCCAGCGAUUUAAUCGUUGGACUGCUGAGGAUACUGUCCGGCUAGGGGGUGGGAGAGGCCGACGGUAUUCCUGGGGUAGGGGUGAAAUCCUAUAAUCCCGGGAGGACCACCAGUGGCGAAGGCUGUCGGCUAGAACAUGCCCGACGGUGAGGGAUGAAAGCUGGGGGAGCGAACCGGAUUAGAUACCCGGGUAGUCCCAGCUGUAAACGAUGCAGGCUAGGUGUUAGGGCGGCCACGUGCCGCUCUAGUGCCGCAGGGAAGCUGUUAAGCCUGCCGCCUGGGGAGUACGGCCGCAAGGCUGAAACUUAAAGGAAUUGGCGGGGGAGCAC
This 810-nucleotide ribosomal RNA is filed under the name uncultured archaeon. Its description in RNAcentral is "bacterial SSU rRNA". It matches the Rfam family "Archaeal small subunit ribosomal RNA", at positions 85 to 879 of the family's 1478-position model. The record is from RNAcentral.